AGCGAACGUUUGCGGCGGGCUUAACACAUGCAAGUCGAACGAGAAUCCCUUCGGGGAGGAAAGUGGCGCACGGGUGCGUAACACGUGGAUAACCAACCCAUUGGUUUGGGACAACACCGGGAAACUGGUGCUAAUACCAGAUGUGUCGCAGCUGUCUUCAGGCGGUUGCGAGAAAGGCCCGCAAGGGUCNCCAACGGACGGGUCCGCGUCCCAUCAGCUAGUUGGUGAGGUAAUGGCUCACCAAGGCAAAGACGGGUAGCUGGUCUGAGAGGAUGAUCAGCCACACUGGAACUGAGACACGGUCCAGACUCCUACGGGAGGCAGCAGUGGGGAAUAUUGCGCAAUGGGCGAAAGCCUGACGCAGCCACGCCGCGUGAGCGGUGAAGGUCUUCGGAUCGUAAAGCUCUGUGGGGGGAGAAGAGAAAGCCGGUGAAGAGCCGGCCCUGACGGUAUCCCCUUAGCAAGCACCGGCUAACUCCGUGCCAGCAGCCGCGGUAAAGU
RNAcentral lists this ribosomal RNA (501 nucleotides) under uncultured bacterium. Its description in RNAcentral is "bacterial SSU rRNA". It matches the Rfam family "Bacterial small subunit ribosomal RNA", at positions 29 to 526 of the family's 1533-position model. The record is from RNAcentral.